Molecule: long non-coding RNA, 1445 nt
Organism: Saccostrea echinata
Lineage: Eukaryota; Metazoa; Mollusca; Bivalvia; Ostreida; Ostreidae
Exons: 3
Source: RefSeq, a predicted model, not a curated record
GAGACUUGCACAUACAUACAUGAAAAAAAAAUUGUCAUUACCGCAACAGACGACUAAAUCGUCAUAAAAUAUUGUUACAGUAUCAAACCAAUUUUUUCAUAGUUUGAAGUAAUAAAUCUUAGUAAUAUCUUACCUUCAUGAUUAUUUGAGUGAAAUAUUCGCACAUUAUUUUUCGUACUGUGGUGUUAAAUUUACGUUUUUAAAAAAUUCAAAAAAACCAUUGGUCAAUAAACCACUUGAGGAGUGUAUAUGAUUAUUUUACUUCCAUUUUUCUACGGUGUGAGAUUUCACGGACUCAUGCAUGUUGAUUAAACACUUUAUUACAUUUAUUAUUAGAUUAAUUGAUAAUUAAUUGACCUAUUUUCUCCUCGUUAUGGUAAUGACAAUGUGUUGCGGUAGUGACAGUGCGUUCCGGUAAAUAGUUUCGAGUUUUAUCAUGCCUUAUAUUUUCCAAAUUUAUUUAGAAACAGUCAUGGCUUGAGCAAAAUUAAUUUUUAAACAGGUAAUUCAUCAGCAUUUGAAAACAAUUGUUCAAAACACUGUGUAUUAGAUGUAGGUUAGUCUCGCCUACCUCCCAGGACUGGACCCACAUAUAGGAGUUAUUUGUAACAACCUCUUAUGCAUAAAACACUAUAAUAGUGUUGUAAAAUCCACGCACAAGACAAUCUAAAGAUGAUUUGUCAUUACCGUAACACUGAUGUCAUUACCGAAACGAUUUGAUUCAAGGGAUUUGUUUCGGUAAUGACACGUUUCGGUUAUGACAUUUUGAAAUGUUAAACAGAAUAUAGAGGGCGCUACUUGCCAAAAGGUGUUAAAUAAUGUACAACACAAUUCAAAACCAAUCUAUAUUUCUUUCUAAACAAUUGCAUUUUUCCUAGGUGAUCGUACUUUUAUUGUAGCAAGCAUUCGGUAAUGACACUGAAUAAACAUACGCUUGAAAGUAAGACCAUUUACAAUGUAAUAUCUGCUUACUUACCCACAGGAGAACGUUAUGCCUUGUAUCAAAGAUGGCGGUUUCUGAAACUUUUAAUCACUUUUAUCUCACCGUUUCGGUAAUGACAAGAAUAUCAGGGACACCGUUUUACAAACAAUAAAUUAUUAAAAAAAAGAAUUUAGUAACCCGUAUCUUUUUUAAAAUCAACAAUGAAUAUUUUAUUAUACCUUAGUAAUCUCGACAGGUUAAAUUUUGAAAGAGAAUUCAGUUUUCACACACGCAUAUUCAAUAUUACAAAUUCGAUUUUGUAGUUUGGGACAUGGCAUUUCAAAGCAAGUCCAUGACGUUGAAAUUUUUUUUUAAGAAGUAAUAUUGCUUUCAGGGGUGUCCUUAUGGUGUGUAUGCAUAUUUAUUAUCUCCUUCUACAAUAUUCCAGACUUAUUUUUAAAAUUUCAUUAACCAGGUAUUGCUCAACACAUACUAAAAUGACGGGACACCAUUUGGGCCUCUA